UCAGGGUGGCACCUCAUACUCCUUCUCGUGUCUCUCUUAUGGCUUUAACAAAGCCUUUCUCUUUCUCUUCAUUUAACUCAUAAUUUUAAUUUGUAUCUAAACAACCAAAUCCUUCACUACUUUUCAUCUAUUUUCCUGUUUACCUAGAAUAUUAUCUUCCACCACUAGCCACGACAGAGUACACAAAAAUAAGUACUAAAUUUGUUUCAAUUAUAUGACUUUAUAUAUAAUUAUUUAUUUAUAAUGGAUGAAUUAAAUUAUUAAUUAUGUUAUUUUUAUACAACGAAUUUUUUAUUGGUAAUCUGCCAUAAUAUCAUUUUUAAUUUCAUUUUUUUUUCAAAUCACUUUUUUCAUUUUUUGUUUGUUUGCAACUAUUGCUAUCUAAAUUUUUUGAAAAUUUACUUAUAAGAUAAGUACAUACAUAGUGGUUAACUAUUUUUUCAUUGUUAUAUUAAAAAAUUUAUUUAUUUUAUACAUUAAUAUAUUGUGUACAUAUGAAAAUAUACGGUACAUUGUAAAUACAAAAUAUAUUUUAGCAUUACAAAGAAACCAAGUUUACCAAAAGCUUAUAUUAAAAUACAACAAAUUAAACAGUAAAAAUCAGUUGUAGGCGUG
This 615-nucleotide long non-coding RNA is filed under the name Brassica rapa (field mustard). RNAcentral's name for it is "long non-coding RNA (BRAP_LNC007392)". The record is from RNAcentral. Lineage: Eukaryota; Viridiplantae; Streptophyta; Magnoliopsida; Brassicales; Brassicaceae.